Lonchura striata (white-rumped munia) is the source of this 318-nucleotide long non-coding RNA. RefSeq lists it as uncharacterized. The record is from RefSeq and is a predicted model, not a curated record. Lineage: Eukaryota; Metazoa; Chordata; Aves; Passeriformes; Estrildidae.
CCCUGGAGCAUAGCAGGUGCUUGACUUAGAGCAGGAGUGAUGAGGGGCUGGUGUGACAAAGGACACAUCACAGCCUCACUGUGCUUAUUUGACACAGCCUCACCAAGACAGAACAGUUGACAGGGGUACAGAGGUGUCCAAUUGAAGUCAAACACGGAGUCUACAUCUGCUCAUAUGGAAAAUGGAAUUCCAGGUGAUGUGCCUUGGUAGCCCAAGCACAAUCUUCUCAUCUUGAUAAGAAAAAUGAGAGGGAAACCAACAGGUGCUGGUGAUACAAUUGAUCCCACUGAAGAAGCAAUAAAUUGUGCCACUGACUGA